This 898-nucleotide ribosomal RNA is filed under the name Niesslia fuegiana. RNAcentral's name for it is "LSU rRNA". It matches the Rfam family "Eukaryotic large subunit ribosomal RNA", at positions 38 to 966 of the family's 3401-position model. The record is from RNAcentral. Lineage: Eukaryota; Fungi; Ascomycota; Sordariomycetes; Hypocreales; Niessliaceae.
GCAUAUCAAUAAGCGGAGGAAAAGAAACCAACAGGGAUUGCCCCAGUAACGGCGAGUGAAGCGGCAACAGCUCAAAUUUGAAAUCUGGCCCCUAGGGUCCGAGUUGUAAUUUGUAGAGGAUACUUUUGGCGCGGUGCCUUCCGAGUUCCCUGGAACGGGACGCCAUAGAGGGUGAGAGCCCCGUCUGGUUGGAUGCCUAGCCUCUGUAAAGUUCCUUCGACGAGUCGAGUAGUUUGGGAAUGCUGCUCUAAAUGGGAGGUAUAUGUCUUCUAAAGCUAAAUACCGGCCAGAGACCGAUAGCGCACAAGUAGAGUGAUCGAAAGAUGAAAAGCACUUUGAAAAGAGGGUUAAAUAGUACGUGAAAUUGUUGAAAGGGAAGCAUUUGUGACCAGACUUGGGCCCGGUUAAUCAUCCAGUGUUCUCACUGGUGCACUUUGCCGGCCCAGGCCAGCAUCAGUUCGCCUCGGGGGAUAAAGGUUUCGGGAAUGUGGCUCCCUCGGGAGUGUUAUAGCCCGUUGCGUAAUACCCUGUGGCGGACUGAGGUUCGCGCUCCGCAAGGAUGCUGGCGUAAUGGUCAUCAGUGACCCGUCUUGAAACACGGACCAAGGAGUCGUCUUCGUAUGCGAGUGUUCGGGUGUCAAACCCCUACGCGUAAUGAAAGUGAACGCAGGUGAGAGCUUCGGCGCAUCAUCGACCGAUCCUGAUGUUCUCGGAUGGAUUUGAGUAAGAGCAUACGGGGCCGGACCCGAAAGAAGGUGAACUAUGCCUGUAUAGGGUGAAGCCAGAGGAAACUCUGGUGGAGGCUCGCAGCGGUUCUGACGUGCAAAUCGAUCGUCAAAUAUGGGCAUGGGGGGCGAAAGACUAAUCGAACCUUCUAGUAGCUGGGUUUCUGCCGAGU